Molecule: long non-coding RNA, 230 nt
Filed under: Eucalyptus grandis
Lineage: Eukaryota; Viridiplantae; Streptophyta; Magnoliopsida; Myrtales; Myrtaceae
Description: long non-coding RNA (EGRA_LNC005918)
Source: RNAcentral
AGUUGUUCUUCGAGUAAUGACCGAUCCAAACACCUUGUGAGAUUUUGAUUGAAUCGGCGACUUCAAUGGAUAGCCGGCGAUUUCAAUAGUUGAAUCAGCAAAAGGGAAUACAUGCUUGGCACCAGCAAAAGAAAACGGCAGGAGAUGGAGGAUUGAGAUGACUCUAAAAAAAAAAAACUUUACUAGAGAAAACGAAUCAGUAAUCUGAACGAGACUUGCCGAGAUCUGGG